UCAAGCUACAAAGAGCACAAGGGGAAUGCCUUGGCAUCGGGAGCCGAAGAAGGACGCGACUAACUGCGAUAAGCUACGGGGAGCCGUAAGUAGGCAUUGAUCCGUAGAUUUCCGAAUGGAGCAAUCCGACUAGAGUCAUGUCUAGUCAUCAUAUACUGAAUAAAAUAGGUAUAUGAGGGGAACCGCCUGAACUGAAACAUCUAAGUAGGGCGAGGAAAAGAAAUCAACCGAGAUUCCGCUAGUAGUGGCGAGCGAACGCGGAAGAGGCCAAACCGAGAGUAGUAAUACUUUCGGGGUUAGGACAGAAAUGUGUACACAGAGGUUUAGCAGAAUUGUAUGGGAAGGCAAACCAAAGAGAGUGAAAGUCUCGUAUGCGAAAAACUGAAGUGGCUAUCUGAAUCCAGAGUACCGCCGGACACGAGGAAUCCGGUGGGAAGACGGGGGGACCAUCCUCCAAGCCUAAAUACUAACCGAUGACCGAUAGAGAAGAGUACCGUGAGGGAAAGGUGAAAAGCACCCCGGGAGGGGAGUGAAAGAGAACCUGAAACCUUGUGCUUACAAGCACCGAGAGCCCGUCAAAGGGUGAUCGGGUACCUAUUGUAGAAUGGUCCGGCGAGUGAAUGUUACUGGCGAGGUUAAGCACCUAAGGUGUGGAGCCAAAGCGAAAGCAAGUCUGAAUAGGGCGAUUUUAAGUCAGUAGUAUUCGACCCGAAACCGGGUGACCUACCCAUGUCCAGGUUGAAGUGGAGGUAAAACUCCAUGGAGGACCGAACCGACUCCCGUUGAAAUGGUAGCGGAUGAGGUGUGGGUAGCGGAGAAAUUCCAAUCGAACCCGGAGAUAGCUGGUUCUCUCCGAAAUAGCUUUAGGGCUAGCCUCGACUGAACAUUACCGGAGGUAAAGCACUGAAUGGGCUAGGGGCCGAGAGGUUACUGAACCCUAUCAAACUAAGAAUGCCAGAUAAUUGUUUUCCGGGAGUCAGACGGCGUGAGAUAAGUUUCGUCGUCAAAAGGGAAAGAGCCCAGACCCACAGCUAAGGUCCCAAAGUAUAGUUAAGUGGAAAAGGAUGUGGGGUUGCCCAGACAACCAGGAUGUUGGCUUAGAAGCAGCCACUCAUUAAAAGAGUGCGUAAUAGCUCACUGGUCGAGUGACCCUGCGCCGAAAAUUCAACGGGGCUAAAUUAUACACCGAAGCUUGGGAUACCGCAAGGUAUGGUAGGAGAGCGUUCUGUAAGGAGUGAAGUGAGAGCGAAAGCGUUCGUGGACUUUACAGAAGUGAGAAUGCCGGAAUGAGUAGCGAGAAAUAUGUGAGAAUCAUAUUGGCCGAAAGUCUAAGGUUUUUGGAGGAAGGUUCGUCCGCUCCAAGUAAGUCGGGAGCUAAGGUGAGGCCUAACGGCGUAGCCGAUGCACAUACGGUAGAUAUUCCGUAACCACCGAAAGAUUUAAACACAGGGACACCUUGAAAGGGCAUAUCCCGGGAGUUGGUUUACCCGGGCGUAAGGGAUCGAAAUUUGAGUAGAGAAGUAUGUUUGGACGAGGGCGAGAAAAGCUGUGUGUAUAUUUUAGGUGCCCGUACCGCAAACCGACACAGGUGGACAGGAAGAGGAUUCUAAGGCCAACGGGAGAAGGGUAAUUAAGGAACUCGGCAAAUUGACCCCGUAACUUAGGGAUAAGGGGUGCUCAUAGAAAUAUGAGCCGCAGAGAAUAGGCCCAGGCAACUGUUUAUCAAAAACACAGGUCUCUGCCAAAUCGAAAGAUGAAGUAUAGGGGCUGACACCUGCCCGGUGCUGGAAGGUUAAGAGGAGGAGUGAGAGCUCCGAAUUGAAGCCCCAGUAAACGGCGGCCGUAACUAUAACGGUCCUAAGGUAGCGAAAUUCCUUGUCGGGUAAGUUCCGACCCGCACGAAUGGUGUAAUGAUCUGGGCACUGUCUCAAUUACCCGCCCGGCGAAAUUGUAGUACCGGUGAAGAUGCCGGUUACCCGCGACAAGACGGAAAGACCCCAUGGAGCUUUACUGCAGCUUGAUAUUGGGUUUCGGUAAUCUAUGUACAGGAUAGGCGGGAGACUAGGAAGUAAAGGCGCCAGCUUUUACGGAGUCGCCCUUGGGAUACCGCUCUUAGAUUGCUGGAAUUCUAACCUGCGGCCAUGAAACUGGUCGGGGAACAUUGUCAGGCGGGCAGUUUGACUGGGGCGGUCGCCUCCUAAAGAGUAACGGAGGCGCUCAAAGGUUGGCUCAGCACGGACGGAAA
This 2245-nucleotide ribosomal RNA is filed under the name human gut metagenome. RNAcentral's name for it is "bacterial LSU rRNA". It matches the Rfam family "Bacterial large subunit ribosomal RNA", at positions 3 to 2337 of the family's 2925-position model. The record is from RNAcentral.